UACGUAGGGGGCGAGCGUUGUCCGGAUUUAUUGGGCGUAAAGAGCGUGUAGGCGGCCAGGUAGGUCUGCUGUGAAAACUCGAGGCUCAACCUCGAGACGUCGGCGGAAACCAUCUGGCUAGAGUCCGGAAGAGGAGAGUGGAAUUCCUGGUGUAGCGGUGAAAUGCGCAGAUAUCAGGAAGAACACCUAUGGCGAAGGCGGCACUCUGGGACGGUACUGACGCUGAGACGCGAAAGCGUGGGGAGCGAACAGG
RNAcentral lists this ribosomal RNA (253 nucleotides) under uncultured bacterium. RNAcentral's name for it is "partial 16S ribosomal RNA". It matches the Rfam family "Bacterial small subunit ribosomal RNA", at positions 524 to 776 of the family's 1533-position model. The record is from RNAcentral.